Molecule: ribosomal RNA, 308 nt
Filed under: Klebsiella quasipneumoniae
Lineage: Bacteria; Pseudomonadati; Pseudomonadota; Gammaproteobacteria; Enterobacterales; Enterobacteriaceae
Description: bacterial SSU rRNA
Rfam family: Bacterial small subunit ribosomal RNA (bases 1-215)
Source: RNAcentral
CUACUGGGAAACGGUAGCUAAUACCGCAAUAAUGUCUUCGGACCAAAGCGGGGGACCUCAGGGCCUCGCCGCCAAGUCGAGAUGAACCCAGUAUGGGAUUAGCUAGUAGGUAAGGUAACGGCUUACCUAGGCGAACGAUCCCUAGCUCGGUCUGAGAGGAUCGAUCAGCCACACUGGGACUGAGACACGGCCCAGACUCCUACGGGAGGCUACUGGGAAACGGUAGCUAAUACCGCAAUAAUGUCUUCGGACCAAAGCGGGGGACCUCAGGGCCUCGCCGCCAAGUCGAGAUGAACCCAGUAUGGGAU